RNAcentral lists this ribosomal RNA (333 nucleotides) under Triticum aestivum (bread wheat). Its description in RNAcentral is "partial small subunit ribosomal RNA". The record is from RNAcentral. Lineage: Eukaryota; Viridiplantae; Streptophyta; Magnoliopsida; Poales; Poaceae.
AUGUCGUUGAGAUUACAAGUGGAGAUAAACAUAAACUCAAACACAGCAGAGGACGACCAGCGCUACCACGGCCGCGGCGGGGAGGGCGACGGCCAAGGCAGAGCCCGCCCGCUGCUCCAUUGCUGCGGCCCACUCCUGGAUCCCUGCAACGAGCGCCGGGAACGCGGAUGCGAGGAAGCGGAACAGCUCGGCAAGCUUCUUCAAUACAAUGUCCCACGGGAUGGGAUGCCCGUCGUGUCCUUGGAGGAGGACGGAGUCGAAAGCUCCCUGCACCGUGACGAGCUUUCUAAUCCUUGGCGCCGCCAUCUUCGUGGGUCUUGGCCGCCUGAUUAG